GGGUUGUGAGGUUAAGCGACUAAGCGUACACGGUGGAUGCCCUGGCAGUCAGAGGCGAUGAAGGACGUGCUAAUCUGCGAAAAGCGACGGCGAGGUGAUAUGAACCUUUGACCCGUCGAUGUCCGAAUGGGGAAACCCAGUGUGUUUCGACACACUAUCGUUAACUGAAUACAUAGGUUAACGAGGCGAACCGGGGGAACUGAAACAUCUAAGUACCCCGAGGAAAAGAAAUCAACCGAGAUUCCCCCAGUAGCGGCGAGCGAACGGGGAGCAGCCCGGAGUCUGAAUCAGCUUGUGUGUUAGUGGAAGCGUCUGGAAAGUCGCACGGUACAGGGUGACAGUCCCGUACACGAAAAUGCACAGGUUGUGAACUCGAAGAGUAGGGCGGGACACGUGGUAUCCUGUCUGAAUAUGGGGGGACCAUCCUCCAAGGCUAAAUACUCCUGACUGACCGAUAGUGAACCAGUACCGUGAGGGAAAGGCGAAAAGAACCCCGGCGAGGGGAGUGAAAAAGAACCUGAAACCGUGUACGUACAAGCAGUGGGAGCACCUUCGUGGUGUGACUGCGUACCUUUUGUAUAAUGGGUCAGCGACUUAUAUUCUGUAGCAAGGUUAACCGUAUAGGGGAGCCGCAGGGAAACCGAGUCUUAACUGGGCGUUAAGUUGCAGGGUAUAGACCCGAAACCCGGUGAUCUAGCCAUGGGCAGGUUGAAGGUUGGGUAACACUAACUGGAGGACCGAACCGACUAAUGUUGAAAAAUUAGCGGAUGACCUGUGGCUGGGGGUGAAAGGCCAAUCAAACCGGGAGAUAGCUGGUUCUCCCCGAAAGCUAUUUAGGUAGCGCCUCGUGAACUCAUCUUCGGGGGUAGAGCACUGUUUCGGCUAGGGGGCCAUCCCGGCUUACCAACCCGAUGCAAACUACGAAUACCGAAGAAUGUUAUCACGGGAGACACACGGCGGGUGCUAACGUCCGUCGUGAAGAGGGAAACAACCCAGACCGCCAGCUAAGGUCCCAAAGUCAUGGUUAAGUGGGAAACGAUGUGGGAAGGCACAGACAGCCAGGAUGUUGGCUUAGAAGCAGCCAUCAUUUAAAGAAAGCGUAAUAGCUCACUGGUCGAGUCGGCCUGCGCGGAAGAUGUAACGGGGCUAAACCAUGCACCGAAGCUGCGGCAGCGACACUAUGUGUUGUUGGGUAGGGGAGCGUUCUGUAAGCCGUUGAAGGUGUGCUGUGAGGCAUGCUGGAGGUAUCAGAAGUGCGAAUGCUGACAUAAGUAACGAUAAAGCGGGUGAAAAGCCCGCUCGCCGGAAGACCAAGGGUUCCUGUCCAACGUUAAUCGGGGCAGGGUGAGUCGACCCCUAAGGCGAGGCCGAAAGGCGUAGUCGAUGGGAAACAGGUUAAUAUUCCUGUACUUGGUGUUACUGCGAAGGGGGGACGGAGAAGGCUAUGUCAGCCGGGCGACGGUUGUCCCGGUUUAAGCGUGUAGGUGUGUGUUCCAGGCAAAUCCGGUUCACUUUAACACUGAGGCGUGAUGACGAGGCACUACGGUGCUGAAGUGAUAAAUGCCCUGCUUCCAGGAAAAGCCUCUAAGCAUCAGGUAACACGAAAUCGUACCCCAAACCGACACAGGUGGUCAGGUAGAGAAUACCAAGGCGCUUGAGAGAACUCGGGUGAAGGAACUAGGCAAAAUGGUGCCGUAACUUCGGGAGAAGGCACGCUGAUAUGUAGGUGAAGCCCCUGCGGGCGGAGCUGAAAUCAGUCGAAGAUACCAGCUGGCUGCAACUGUUUAUUAAAAACACAGCACUGUGCAAACACGAAAGUGGACGUAUACGGUGUGACGCCUGCCCGGUGCCGGAAGGUUAAUUGAUGGGGUUAGCGGCAACGCGAAGCUCUUGAUCGAAGCCCCGGUAAACGGCGGCCGUAACUAUAACGGUCCUAAGGUAGCGAAAUUCCUUGUCGGGUAAGUUCCGACCUGCACGAAUGGCGUAAUGAUGGCCAGGCUGUCUCCACCCGAGACUCAGUGAAAUUGAACUCGCUGUGAAGAUGCAGUGUACCCGCGGCAAGACGGAAAGACCCCGUGAACCUUUACUAUAGCUUGACACUGAACACUGGUCCUUGAUGUGUAGGAUAGGUGGGAGGCUUUGAAGCGUGGACGCCAGUCUGCGUGGAGCCGUCCUUGAAAUACCACCCUUUAAUGGCUGGUGUUCUAACGUGGACCCGUGAUCCGGGUUGCGGACAGUGUCUGGUGGGUAGUUUGACUGGGGCGGUCUCCUCCCAAAGAGUAACGGAGGAGCACGAAGGUUAGCUAAUCCUGGUCGGACAUCAGGAGGUUAGUGCAAUGGCAUAAGCUAGCUUGACUGCGAGAGUGACGGCUCGAGCAGGUGCGAAAGCAGGUCAUAGUGAUCCGGUGGUUCUGAAUGGAAGGGCCAUCGCUCAACGGAUAAAAGGUACUCCGGGGAUAACAGGCUGAUACCGCCCAAGAGUUCAUAUCGACGGCGGUGUUUGGCACCUCGAUGUCGGCUCAUCACAUCCUGGGGCUGAAGUAGGUCCCAAGGGUAUGGCUGUUCGCCAUUUAAAGUGGUACGCGAGCUGGGUUUAGAACGUCGUGAGACAGUUCGGUCCCUAUCUGCCGUGGGCGCUGGAGAAUUGAGGGGGGCUGCUCCUAGUACGAGAGGACCGGAGUGGACGCAUCACUGGUGUUCGGGUUGUCAUGCCAAUGGCACUGCCCGGUAGCUAAAUGCGGAAGAGAUAAGUGCUGAAAGCAUCUAAGCACGAAACUUGCCCCGAGAUGAGUUCUCCCUGAGACUUUAAGUCUCCUGAAGGAACGUUGAAGACGACGACGUUGAUAGGCCGGGUGUGUAAGCGCAGCGAUGCGUUGAGCUAACCGGUACUAAUGAACCGUGAGGCUUAACCUUACAACGCCGAAGCUGUU
RNAcentral lists this ribosomal RNA (2930 nucleotides) under Enterobacter bugandensis. RNAcentral's name for it is "23S ribosomal RNA". It matches the Rfam family "Bacterial large subunit ribosomal RNA". Lineage: Bacteria; Pseudomonadati; Pseudomonadota; Gammaproteobacteria; Enterobacterales; Enterobacteriaceae. The record is from RNAcentral.